Molecule: ribosomal RNA, 773 nt
Filed under: uncultured bacterium
Lineage: Bacteria
Description: bacterial SSU rRNA
Rfam family: Bacterial small subunit ribosomal RNA
Source: RNAcentral
AGAGUUUGAUCCUGGCUCAGGACGAACGCUGGCGGCGCGCCUAACACAUGCAAGUCGAACGAGCGAGAGAGAGCUUGCUUUCUCAAGCGAGUGGCGAACGGGUGAGUAACGCGUGAGGAACCUGCCUCAAAGAGGGGGACAACAGUUGGAAACGACUGCUAAUACCGCAUAAGCCCACAGGUCGGCAUCGACCAGAGGGAAAAGGAGCAAUCCGCUUUGAGAUGGCCUCGCGUCCGAUUAGCUAGUUGGUGAGGUAACGGCCCACCAAGGCAACGAUCGGUAGCCGGACUGAGAGGUUGAACGGCCACAUUGGGACUGAGACACGGCCCAGACCCCUACGGGAGGCAGCAGUGGGGAAUAUUGCACAAUGGGGGAAACCCUGAUGCAGCGACGCCGCGUGGAGGAAGAAGGUCUUCGGAUUGUAAACUCCUGUUGUUGAGGAAGAUAAUGACGGUACUCAACAAGGAAGUGACGGCUAACUACGUGCCAGCAGCCGCGGUAAAACGUAGGUCACAAGCGUUGUCCGGAAUUACUGGGUGUAAAGGGAGCGCAGGCGGGAAGACAAGUUGGAAGUGAAAUCUAUGGGCUCAACCCAUAAACUGCUUUCAAAACUGUUUUUCUUGAGUAGUGCAGAGGUAGGCGGAAUUCCCGGUGUAGCGGUGGAAUGCGUAGAUAUCGGGAGGAACACCAGUGGCGAAGGCGGCCUACUGGGCACCAACUGACGCUGAGGCUCGAAAGUGUGGGUAGCAAACAGGAUUAGAUACCCUGGUAGU